RNAcentral lists this ribosomal RNA (85 nucleotides) under Ligilactobacillus salivarius. RNAcentral's name for it is "Lactobacillus salivarius partial 23S ribosomal RNA". Lineage: Bacteria; Bacillati; Bacillota; Bacilli; Lactobacillales; Lactobacillaceae. The record is from RNAcentral.
UAUUAAGGGCGUAUGGUGGGAUGCCCUUGGGCACUAGGAGCCCGAUGAAGGGACCGUUGACUUAACUGCGAUAUGCUUCGGGGAG